UUGAUCUUUCCUGGAACAGCUUCACGUCAUCAAUGAUACUCCAGUGGCUGUCCAACGUCACUUCCAACCUUGUUGAGCUUGACCUUAGUCAUAACCUCUUGGAGGGUUCCACAUCAAACCAUUUUGGCCGUGUAAUGAAUUCUCUUGAGCACCUCGACCUCUCAUAUAAUAUAUUCAAGGGUGAGGAUUUGAAAUCCUUCGCGAAUAUAUGCACCUUACAUUCUUUAUACAUGCCAGCAAAUCUUUUGACUGAAGACCUUCCAUCAAUCCUUCCUUGAUAAUUUGUCUAGUGGUUGUGUUAAACACUCAUUACAAGAAUUGGAUUUCACAUCUAAUCAAAUUACUGGCUCUUUACCCGACCUUUCAGUAUUCUCAUCUCUAAGAUCAUUGUUUCUUGAUGGAAAUAAAUUAAGUGGAAAGAUACCUGAAGGCAUCCGCUUACCGUUUCAUUUGAAAUCUCUGUCAAUCCAAUACAACUCUUUAGAAGGUGGAAUUCCCAAAUCAUUUGGGAACUCAUGUGCUUUGAGCUCACUGGAUAUGUCUGCUAACAAUUUGAAUAAAGAGCUUUCGGUGAUAAUUCAUCAAUUGUCUGGGUGUGCCAGAUUCUCGCUGCAAGAAUUGAACAUAGAAGCAAAUCAAAUCAAUGGUACGCUUUCUGACCUUUCAAUAUUCUCUGCCUUGAAAACAUUGGAUCUUUCAAUAAAUCAAUUAAAUGGAAAAAUUCCAGAGAGUACCAAAUUGCCAUCUCUGUUAGAAUCUUUGUCAAUUGGAUCAAACUCUUUAGAAGGCGGAAUUCCAAAAUCAUUUGGGGAUGCAUGUGCUUUGCGCUCGUUGGACAUGUCUUAUAAUAGCUUGAGUGAAGAAUUUCCAAUGAUAAUCCAUCACUUGUCUGGAUGUGCUAGAUAUUCAUUGGAACAAUUAUCUCUAAGCAUGAACCAAAUCAACGGCACACUACCCGACCUCUCAAUAUUCUCAUCUUUAAGAGAAUUAUAUCUUUAUGGAAACAAGCUAAAUGGAGAGAUUCCUAAAGAUAUUAAAUUUCCACCUCAACUGGAGCAACUAGAUAUGCAAUCAAAUUCCUUAAAGGGUGUGCUCACUGACUAUCAUUUUGCUAAUAUGUCUAAGUUAGACAUCCUGGAGUUAUCUGAGAACUCUUUAUUGGCCUUGGCAUUUAGCCAAAAUUGGGUCCCACCAUUUCAAUUGAGCUACUUAGGAUUGCGAUCUUGCAAGCUAGGUCCAGUAUUUCCCAAAUGGUUGGAGACACAAAAUCAAUUUCGGGAUAUUGACAUUUCAAAUGCUGGAAUAGCAGAUAUGGUUCCAAAGUGGUUUUGGGCUAAUUUAGCAUUCCGAGAAUUUAUUUCAAUGAAUAUUUCAUACAAUAAUCUCCAUGGUAUAAUUCCUAAUUUUCCAACAAAGAAUAUUCAAUAUUCCCUAAUUCUUGGACCAAAUCAAUUUGAUGGCCCUGUUCCACCAUUUCUGCGAGGUUCCGUAUUUCUUGAUUUAUCCAAAAAUCAAUUCUCAGAUUCUCUUUCAUUUUUAUGUGCUAAUGGUACAGUUGAAACUUUGUACGAAUUAGACCUUUCAAAUAAUCAUUUCUCUGGAAAAAUUCCGGACUGUUGGAGCCAUUUCAAGCCAUUAACUUAUUUGGACUUAAGUCACAAUAAUUUUUCAGGAAGGAUACCCACAUCCAUGGGAUCUCUUCUUCAUCUUCAAGCAUUGCUAUUGAGAAACAACAACUUAACAGAUGAGAUACCUUUCUCCUUGAGGAAUUGCACAAAUCUAGUAAUGCUAGAUAUUUCAGAAAACAGAUUAUCAGGGCUUAUCCCUGCUUGGAUAGGGAGCGAAUUACAAGAGUUGCAAUUUUUAAGUUUGGGAAGAAAUAAUUUCCAUGGAAGUUUACCAUUGCAAAUUUGCUACCUAAGUGACAUUCAACUCUUGGAUGUCUCACUAAACAGCAUGUCUGGGCAGAUUCCUAAAUGCAUCAAAAAUUUUACUUCAAUGACUCAAAAGACAUCUUCAAGAGAUUAUCAAGGUCAUUCAUAUCUUGUCAAUAUCAUUGGCAUGUCUGGUAGUUAUACAUAUGAUUUGAAUGCACUCUUGAUGUGGAAAGGUUCAGAACAAAUGUUCAAAAAUAAUGUGUUACUACUUUUAAAAAGCAUUGAUCUCUCAAGCAAUCACUUUUCUGGAGAAAUUCCACUGGAAAUAGAGAAUUUAUUUGGAUUGGUUUCAUUGAAUUUAUCAAGAAACCAUUUGACCGGAAAGAUUCCUUCAAAUAUUGGAAAGUUAACAUCACUUGACUUUCUUGAUUUGUCAAGAAACCAUCUAGUUGGUUCAAUUCCUUUGAGUCUUACUCAAAUUGAUCGACUGGGCAUGUUAGAUUUGUCACAUAACAAUCUAUCUGGAGAAAUUCCAACUGGUACACAAUUACAGAGUUUCAAUGCCUCAUGUUAUGAAGAUAAUCUUGAUCUUUGUGGACCGCCACUGGAGAAAUUGUGUAUUGAUGGGAAGCCUGCACAGGAACCAAUUGUUAAACUUCCUGAAGAUGAAAAUUUGCUUUUCACCCGUGAAUUUUACAUGAGUAUGGCAAUUGGAUUUGUUAUAAGCUUUUGGGGCGUUUUUGGCUCAAUCUUAAUAAAUCGUUCUUGGAGACAUGCUUAUUUCAAGUUCAUAAGCAAUUUCUCAGAUGCUAUUUAUGUCAUGGCAGCCGUGAAAGUUUUCAAGUGGCAUCACAGAGGAUAGCUGGUAAUAAUAUUUUAGUCUUCAUAUAUAUACUUCAUUUUCCUUUAUAUGAUAAAUAUAUAGCAGUCACAGACCUUAGUUUACAACUAGAUGACGUUUUUCUCUUUUGUUUUGACCUUUAGACCCUCAAUUAAUAAAAAAACAAGUAUUCAUCAACACGAACCUUAGUUUACUAUCACACUGCAGGUAAACAACUUGUAGUUCGGUUAAUAUAUGAUAUAUAUAUAUAUAUAUAUAUAUAUAUCUUUUAAUGAACUAGUUUUAACUAAAGAUGAACAAGCAGUUAUAUAAUAAUGAAAAAGAAAAGUUGAAAAAGAAAAGUAAUAUAAUCAAUUUUUGAUAAAUGUUUUUCUAAAAAGUAUAUAAUAAGUUCAAAGAGUCUAAUUACUAAUUAGUAUUAACUUCAAUGUGUUGGAGUUUUACAUGGGCAUCUAUUAAUAUUAAUAUAUUUAUCUUUAUACCAUUUCAUAUUAGUUAAAUAAAUUAAAGAAAUGAUUAUUAAUAUUGUUAUAUUAAAUUUAGUAGGUUAUAAAACUUCUUUACACUAACAUUUCAUAUUAAACAAAUCAAAAUACUUUUACCUAUUUUCUAAUCCCAAAAUAAUAGCUAUAUACAGAUAAAGUAUAUUUUUUUUCUUGAUAUAUAUUUUUUCUCCUUAUAAAUACUUUUACCUAUUUUCAAUCUCAUGUUCUACUUUUUGAUAUAGCUUUUAGUGUUGGUAAUUUUCUUGGCAUUCCAAUUUUUUCUCUAUUCUUUUAUUAUUUCUAGUUGAAGACAAAUUUUGAAGGAUCCAUAUUUUAAUUUUUGGCAGAAAAAUUCUGAAUUGUAGGUGCCAGCUUGUUGAGGUGGAAAAUGCAAAGAGACACUUUUAAUUUGGAGGUGAGAAGGCAUCUCUCACAAUUGGAUUUGGAGACCGAGAGAGAAUUAAGGAAGGCUUCUAGAGCUUGAGGGAGCCAAUUGUGAUUGUGAUCCAUCUAGUUUAUUUUCCUUUUUAAUUUCUAAGCAUUUUGUUUGUAGUUUGGUCUUUAAAUCUGAACUGGUUGUUUUGUAUGAAGUUGAUGAAUCUUCAUAAUAAUGGGAACUGAGAGGUUUGGUUAUUGCUUCUUGAUUUUUGGGUCAUACUCUUUGAUUACGUAGAAAUAGAAAACCGUGUUUGAUCUAGGGAUUUUGUUGUGCUUUUGUACAUUAGUCUCAUGAUUUCAUUUAAGGAAUUAAGUUAUAUGAGAUUAAAAGGAUUCAUUGCCAAGGAAUUGAAUGUGAAUUACCGCAGCAAAAACUGAUCUUAAACUUGGGCAAAGUUGUUUGGACUAGGUGGAAAUUGGGUUGUUACUUAAACAAUCCGUAAAAUCAAAACUUAACAGUGACAGGUGUGAGCACUAUGUCCCUUCUUGGAGCAGAGUUGGCAAAUAGUGUUGGAGUAGGAAGAGAUAAGAUGAUUGCCAGAUGGGUAAUGCUCAUGACGCUUGAGAUACAUCUCAUAGUUCUGCAAUUUAACAAAUACCUCAUCAAAAGAGGGCAAGGUGUUUUGCCAAUGACGUAGCCUUCAAGGUCACGAAUAAGCUUAGACUGAUACCAUAUAGAGAAUGAAUAAGUUGUUUAGAGAAGAUGACGAUCCACACGUCCUUUAGAGAAGAUGUGUGUGGUAGACUUGUGCUUUUCUGGGAAUCAUGAUAUCCCUGUGACAUUUGGGAUAUAGUGAGACCGUAUAAAACACUUAUGUCUAAAUUCGGGAACAACAAAUUCUAUCUUGAUAAUUGUAAAUUUUGAGUUUAAUUGAUAGUUAAUUUUAACUAAAAAUUUUUAGAAUUUUUUUAUUUUAAUAUUGUUGUGUUUAUUGAAAUAAUAAGGAAUUUAAUAUUAUAUUAAUUUUUUUACCAGCAGAAUUUAAUAUCAUGUAAUAUCAUGUAGUAACUAUUACUGCUACACUAUAUUUUAGUCAUGGUAGCAGUGAAAGUUUUCAAGUGGCGUCACAGAGGAUAGCUGGUAAUAAUAUUUUAGUCUUCGUAUAUAUACUUCAUUUUCCUUUAUAUGAUAAAUAGCAGUCACAAACCUUAGUUUACAACUAGAUGGCGUUUUUCUCUUUUGUUUUAACCUUGAGACCCUCGAUUAAUAAAAAAAAUAAUUAUUCAUCAACACGAAACUUAGUUUACUAUCACACCUAAGGUAAACAAGUUGUAGUCCGGUUUUCUUCUUAAAAGAAGACUAGCUAGAACAUGUAUGAUAUAUCUUUGAACGAACUAGUUUUAACUAAAGAUGAACAAGCAGUUACAUAAUAAUGAAAAAGAAAAGUAGAACAUGCAUGCAUGUUUGUUUUGCAUUUCCGAAAUCCAGAUUAGAUUGUUUAUAAAAUACUAAUUUUUAAUUUAAUAUUCAAUAAUCAUAUGAUGCUUGAAAAUAUAUAUUAAAUGAGUUGUACAUACACAUUCGAGGAAUCUAAAUCUUGAUAUUUUAAAUAUUCUUAUCUCAAAAUGUCUUUUAAUAUGAUUACAAAUCAUCUUUUGGAAUUUUGUUAAUCCCGUAAUAUAAUCAAUUUUUGAUAAAUGUUUUUCUAAAAAGCAUAUAAUAAUUUCAAAUAGUUCAACGUAUUGGAUUUUUACAUGGGAUCUAUUAAAAUUAAUAUAUUUAAUUUUAUUUAUUUUCAUACCAUUUCGUAUUAGUUAAAUAAAUUAAAGGAAUGAUGAUUGUUAUGUAGGUUAUAAAACUUCUUUACACUAAUAUUUCAUAUUAAACAAAUUAUAAUACUUUAACCUAUUUUAUAAUCGCUAAAUAAUAACUCAAUAUAAAUAACGUAUAUUUUUUUUCUUGAUAUAUGCUUUUCCUCCUUGUAAGUUAUUAAGUUUAAAAUAGAGAAUAAGUUUGAGGUAGUUUUUCUAUCUCAUUAUCUACUUCUUUAUAUAGCUUUUAGUCAUGGUGAUUUUCUUGGCAUUUCAAUUUUUUCUUUAUUCUUUUAUUACUUCUAGUUGAGGGCAAAUGUUGAAGGAUCGAUAUUUUAAUUUUUGGCAGAAAAAUUCUGAAUUCUAGGUGCCAGCUUGUGGAGGUGGAAAAUGCAAAGAGAUACUUUUGGAGGUGAGAAGGCAUCUCUCACAGUUGGAUUUGGAGACCGAGAGAGAAUUAAGGAAGGCUUCUAGAGCUUGAGGGAGCCAAUUGUGAUAGUGAUCUAGUUUAUUUUCCUUUUUAAUUUCUAAGCAUUUUGUUUGUACUUUAGCCCUUAAAACUGAACUAGUUGUUUUGUAUGAAGUUGAUGAAUCUUCACAAUAAUGAGAAUUGAGAUGUUUGGUUAUUGUUUCUUGAUUUUUGGGUCAUGCUCUUUGAUUAUGUAGAAAUAGUAAACCGUGUUUGAUCUAGGGAUUUUGAUGUGCUUUUGUACAUUAGUCUCAUGAUUUCAUUUAAGGAAAUAAGUUAUAUGAGAUUAAAAGGAUUCAUUGCCAAGGAAUUGAAUGUGAAUUACUGCAGCAAAAACUGAUCUUAAACUUGGGCAAAGAUGUUUGGAGUAGGAAGAGCUAUGAUGCUUGCCAGAUGGGUAAUGCUAACUGCACCCUCUGGUAGAGUGGUGUGAGCAGCGGUGAUUGGCAAAGUUGGCACUGAUGGAGGAGUGGUGAUUGAAGUGCUCAUCACGCAAUCAGAAAUAUCCUAACAUCAAAUAUGCCUUUAUUCCACUGCCCACGCAUCUUCUAGAAGACACGAGGCUAUCAUAUGGUUUGCGCUUUUACUACGUAUGGUGCAUGUAUGCAUGAUGCAUGAUGCAUGAUGCCAACCAUGCUGUACGUUCCUUCCUCUUGGACCUUUGGUGCUUACUUCCUGCAGACCCCCCUGUGUCAUUCGUACCCCCUGGUGAAAUCCGUAUCAAUGUCCUUCAUUCUCUCCUGCUGUAUUAGCUCUCUAACAGGUCGAUAAGCCGCAGUGAUGCACAAAUUCUGUUCACAGAAAUUAACAUCAAUUUAUUUUCCCAAAAAAAAUAAAACCAGUAAAUCGCCCCCAAAAUUCACCUUAAGAUCACUUCCAGUAUAUCCUUCUGUCAUGGUUGCCAGCUCUUUGAAGUCUAAGUUUUCAUGUUUUUCUUUAGCCAAAAGAGUCUUCAAGAUCAUUUCCCUGUUCUCAACAGAUGGAAGACCAACCAAGAUCCUGCUCAACAAUAAAAAGGUGAGUGUUAUGAUUCACAAGUUACAAGAGCAAUAAUAGUUGAACUAAAAAGCAUUAAAUAUUGAUGUUGCACAGUUGAAAACACUUGAUUUUAUUGUAUCCAUAAAAGACAUCUGACAGACUCAAUUUGUGAACAAUUUAAAUGCCAAAUUAAGAGGCAAGAACUGUUGCUAAAAGAGUUAAGGCAAGCUACAGAAAGAUAUCUGUCUUCAAGGGGGGGCAUAUGGUAUUGUCAGCUAUAUAGAAAAUAAGAAUAGACACCUCAAAAGGAAAUUGAUGAAAUGACCACUUGUUAUGAAUUUUCUUGUUUUCUUAUGGUCAAACAUAUGCUCAUCAUAAUGAUGGAGAAAUGCAGUCUUUGUUCUGAUUGCAAAAAUGUUGUUGCUGAAUAGAAGCAACACAUGAUCAUGCAAACAAUAAGACAAAGGUGUGGUCCUACCUUCUCUCAAACCGUCUUAUGAUAGCUUCAUCAAGGUCAAAUGGCCUGUUGGUUGCUGCAAGAACCAAAAUUUGCUCAUUAGGUCCUGUUAAUAGCCCAUCCCAGUGUGUCAUGAAUUCAUUUUUAAUCUUCCUCAUAGCCUCAUGCUCUCCUACUCUAGUCCUCUGUCCAAGCAUGCUGUCAACCUCGUCAACAAAGAUAAUUGUUGGGGCAACCUUAGCUGCCAGUGUGAACAGAGCUCGGACAUUCUUUUCAUCCUCUCCAAACCAUUUUGAUGUGAUGGUUGACAUUGAGACAUUAAUGAAACUUGCCUUCCUGGAACAGACUCAAUCCCACUACUCCAAGCAUACCUCGUUAGAUUCAUUAGUCUUCAGAUUCCCACUACUCUUGCCUUCCUGGAACAGACUCAAUCCAUGGGACAAGCUGUUCACAUCCAAGAUCAGUAACUAGAAAAUCUGGUCACGUAAUUGAUGGUGUCUUUACAUAGCCAUUGGACAAGUAUUUACCUAUUUGCUGAUAUAACUAGCUUUCCAUUUCCAGUUCGUUUGAAAUUAAUGGUGUGUGUAUAGUAAUUUGUUUAUAUAUAUAUAUAUAUAUAUAUAUAUAUAUAUAUAUAUAUAUAUAUAUAUAUUAAAAGAGAUAUUAUUUUUGUGAUACAAUGGCUAAGUUGUUUUCAUAAAUUAUAAAAGAAAUUUAAGAUUUAUUACCCAUUAAUAACUAAAUGUGCAAAUGUAGCAUGCUCAUUAUGUAGGGUCACGAUUUCUUGCUUGGUUGAGUGGUCGGGUGAUCUAGUGUUCAUAUUCAAUACUUUAUUUCAAUAAAACUAUGUCCUAUGUAAUCUUUUAAAAUUUGGAUGAAAAGUUUUGAUGAUAAUAAAAUAAAAUAGAGAUAUAAUUAGAGAAAAUAAAUUGUGUACUAACAAUGUUAAAUUAUUUUAUACAUGUCAUUCAUUUAUUUAGUGAUGUGUAUAUGAUAAGUUUGUGAAGUUUUACAAAAGUUAUAUUAAAAUUAAUUAAUAAUAUAAAACUAAAUAUUCAAUACUUAAUCAUAAAACAUUGAUGAUCUUCAUUAUUACUAUAAAUUUUUUUCUUAUAAAUUAUUGUGAUUUUAAUCUAUCGUUAACUUUAUGUUAUUAUUCUUCUUACUUCAAUUUCAACAAAUUUCUUUUUAUAGGUAUAAGAAUUUUAUUUAUUUUUCAUUUACACAUUUUGGAAACUAACAUUCUGUUUUUUUUUUUUUUAAUUUUCAGUCUCUUGAAGACACUAGUCCUCUUGCAUGACCCCAAUGUCUAAGCUUGUUAUUGCUUGGAAAAGGCAAUAAGUUGGAAAUUAUGAUUGUUUUAUAUUUUUUCAGUAUCAAUUGAGAUACUUAUAUCAUGUUUCGAUAAUUUUAAAAAGACUCUAGUUAAUUUUAAAAAGACUCUAGUUUUAUUAGCAUUAUGCUUGUAAUAAAAUAUAAAUUACAAUGUAUUAUAUCAAUAAUUUGUGCAUAUUUCUCUUAAUCAAAAUUUUGGUUUUGACAAAAACAGUAUUGAGCUAAACAUUUUGCCAAGGGCCUCAUUUUCAAUAUUUUAAGAAUAAAAAAAUUAGAAAAUUCCAUGCACAUAUUUUGUAUGAAUGAAUCUAUCAUCAUCAUUUUGUCAUAAUUAGACAAAUAAUUUGACACCAUAUGUUUCAAUUAUAUGGAGAUGGCUCCAAUUUUCAAACUAUGCAUGUCUUUUAUUUUAAGAAAGAAACAAUAAUAAUAAUAUAUAUUAUUAAUUAUUAAUCUAUACUAAUAAUAAACAAAAUAUCUCAAUUUGGUAUCCAUAUUAAAUUAGAUAAUUUUACCUUUAAAUCAUUUUUUAAAUUUUAAAAAAUUUCUUCUAACCUACUAUAACUUUCCACUACUAUAUUAUUAAUAUUUUUUUAUUCUCACGUUUUUUAUUAAAUAUAUUUAAUUUUUAUCUUUUUAAAUUUUUUUUCUUAUUUUUUAAAAUUUAGAAAGACGUGAUCUAUCCUUUAGUUCUUAAUUUAAGAAUACCCUUUUAGUGUCCAUAAAUUUUAGACGAUUAUAUUCUUUAUUAAUUAGUCAACUUCUGUUAUCCUCUCCUAAUAACUAUCCACCACUCUUAUGUUAGUUAUUCUAUCCACCACGAUUAUUUUCAUCAAUCAAAAUAUAACCCAAAGAAAAUGCUGAAGUUACAUAACCCGAUGAUAGAAUGCAGGAUCUCUAACAAACUCCUGAUAUGACUCCUUAUGAUCAUUUUAAAGGGUUAAGGGCGGGGAAAUGUCUGAAGUAGUAUAAUUGUGAAAAGUUAAUAUUGUGACUACACAUUUGAUGUUGUGAUAGAUGUAUCCCUGACCUAAUCAUAGAUGAAGUUAGAUUUACAAAAUUCGAUUGAUGUUGCACAUCUGGAUAAGCAGUACAGUUUAAAGACAAUUCGAUUUACAAAAUUCUAUUGUCAUAUAUAAUACAGCAUACCUAAAAUGUUUGGAGUAAUAUAUUCCUACUUCCUACAAAGCCAUUGCAUCUUCCAAAACCAUGCAUGACAUAACAUAAAUUCUCUAAUACUGGUGCUCAUUGGUUUGUAGACAACUCAAACCAAAACCGAGAACCCAUUCCUAAACAUAAUGCAUGAUGAUCUACACGUCCUUUAGAGAAUAGAUGUGUGUCGCAGAACUUGUGCUUUUCUGGGAAUCAUGAUAUCUCUGCGACAUUUGGGUUAUAGUGGGACAUCUAGGCAUGCUUUGAGUUCAACAUCUCUGGUGAAGGACUCCUUCCUUUGUUGAAAUGUAUCAUUGAAGAUGAAUGGUCGCAAAUCCAAUAAUAAAAUUUCUAGGUUUUAAAAAUCCACUUUUAACUAGUUCAUUUUAGUCCUCUCCGAACCAUUUUAAUGUGAAUGAUGGUUGACAUUGAGACAUUAAUGAAACUUGCACAGCAGCUUCAUUUGCAAUUGGCUUUGCCAGCAUUUUAUUUGCAGUACCAGGAGGCCCAAAAAGCAAUAUACCUCUACAUGGCUUUAUAUUAGAAGCAUUACCAACUCUUGAAGUGAUUAUUUGAUCUCAUCCAAUGCACCAACAUCUGCAAGUCUAACCCCUAUUUCGUUUUCAUGGAUAAGCUCUGGUCUUAUACGCUUCUCAAACUCGUUGUCACUUGUCAAGAACUUCCUGCAAGCAAGCAAUUACUAUAUAUAAGUUUAAGUAGACAAGAAGCACAGAAAAGUGCAAACUACAAUUGUUCCAUCAUCUAAAAGAGGGUGACGCUCUAAUCUGAAAUAUAGUGCUAUGUUUAACCAGAAAACUAAUAUGAAUGAUAACAAAUCAACAAUAAGUGUUACGUGCACGGUGCACAUAAUAAGCACUAGGUAACAUUUGUAUAACAAAAUAAGCUAUCUUUGAUCACAAAAAGUACAAAUUAAAGUGUGCUAUCAAAUUCAUUGUUUGAUCUACUUCAGAAAAAAAAUCACGAACUUAUCAGGAAAGAUGCAUCACUCAUGUUGCCGAUUCAUUUCAUUUCAUUGAUGAGCUUCUUUGUCGCCGAUGAGAUCCUUAGAAUUUUGUUGUUGAUGUUUGUUGCGCUAUCAUUUCAUUUCGUUUUUAGUUUAUCAUCACCUUCCUCGUUGCAUUUUCAUUUUUUUAACUCUGCCAUCGCCCCACCGCCGUGCAGCUGUGCUGCCUUCGCCCCGCCGCCAGGCCCCUGUGCAAGAAGCGUCAGGGCCCGCGCCACCCUCCAUCGUGGUACCCACCUUUUCUGUGCCCUUUUGAGGCUUAGGCACCAAGGGUUUUCAAACCCUUGUGCUUACUUUCGGGUUGGGCCGGGUCAUUUUAACUUCUAAUCUAAGCCCAAUAAAAAAAGCCGAAAAAAGAAAAAAAAUGUUGAACGGCUUAGUUUAUUAAGUCUGAAACAAAAACAAAAGUUAUUUACACCCUAUUUUUACACAUACACCUUCUUUUAUUUUGGACCUAGUUCAUUUUUGAGAAGCCUAAAAGAAAAGAAAUACUGCUAGCCAUACACAACUCUUUUUGCACAUACACCCUCUUUCAUUUCGGCUUAACUCAUUUGCUUAAAUCUGAAAUAAAAUAAAUAUCGCUGCCUUUACACAUACACCCCUUGCAUUUUGGGCCUAGUCUGUUUUCAAGAAGUCUUAGAUAAAAUAAAUAUUGCUAGCUACACCCCUUUCUCCAUGUAUGCUUCUCAAUGUAUGCAAUUUGACUUUGACCCUAAAUUAAUAAAUGAAUGAUAAUAAUAAUAAUAAUAAUAAUAAUAAUAAUAAUAAUAAAUUGAUAGAAAACUCUUUAUUUUUAUUUAAUUUUUCUAAUUGUCUCUAUUAUUUAUCUUAUUCGUCAAUUUGAUUGUUUCUUCAUUCCCCAAUUAGUUAGUUUAAGUUAUAAUGUGCUCUAAAUAUCCCGCUACAUAUAUUAUUUUCCCCCACAUUUCAACCCCGUAACCUUAAUUACUUAGUAUAUUUUUCACUUUUAUUCUAUCUUUUUCUAUUCUCAUUCGAUUUAUUUGAUUAGUUAACACUGUUAUUCAUUUAUUUUUGCAAUUUUGCAUUAGUAUUCAUUGGUAUGCACUUACGUUUUGUACACUACAUGUUGAGUCUCUGAUUUGCUUGAUAGUAUUUCAAUAAAAUAUGAGUAAAUUUAGUAAAUGUCAUGACUUUACAAAGUUUACAGCAAACCCAACAUCUUUUCUAAAGAGGAAAAAGAAUACUCAAAUAAAUAAUCAAUCAAUUUAUCUUUUUUAUGUUUUGUGCACCUCAUGUUGGAUUUUCGACUUACUUGAUGAUGUUUUAAUAACAUGUGAGUAAAUUUUGCUAAUGUCGUGCAAAGUCUCCAACUUUCUUGACUUCCUAACGUUUAUCACAACCAAAAUCUUUUCUAGAAAAGGGAGUAAAAAUAUUCAAAUAAAUAAACAUUCAAUUCUUUUUUUUCUCAAUGAAUAUUACACAUUACUCGAGAUUGUUUCAAUGCCUUAAGUGAUUCUCUCUAUUAUUUUUUUGAAAUUUAAUAUUAUUUCAAGGUCCAAUACUUUAAUGAUUCUUAUUCACACAAUUAAAUACAAAUCAUUCAAAAGAAGAUAAAAUCAACCAACACACAAGUUAUUUUUUUUUACCCAAAGAACUAUAUAAGUAUGAUUUCCUCAUUACACCUGGGGAUAUGUAUAAGUGAGGGAAAACCCCUUGUUGACCUAAAACACUAGGAAAUAAAAACAUAAAAUUUCUUCUUUACUAAAAAUAAAGAAUUUCUUUCUUUUUUUAAAUUAAACAAAAUAUAACAAACAUAAUUCAUGUUCUCAAGGGAAGAUAAAUACUUAAGAAGUUGCUUUUAUUUUUAUUAGAGUGAAUUAAAGGUUGUUAUCAUUAUGACAGAUACGUGAGGUGUUAAUACCUUUCACGUACAUAAAUAACUCCUGAAUCCUUUUUUUUACCAAAUUGUAAAUCAUUCCUUUUUUUUUUCCGAUGUUUUUCUUAAAUAAACAUUGAUAGCGAUUCUCAAAUUUUCUUUUGAAAAACUCACUCAACCGCCGCAUUGUGACAAUGACAAUAUUAUUUACAAAAGAAAUUAUAGUAAUAAUAUGUAGUGGAAAACACAAAUCAUAUUUCUUUUUUUAAAAAAAGAGAAUAAAUUCAUAUUUCUUGUUUUCAGUGUUACUUACAAAAAUGUUACUUUUGAUUCCUAUUCUCAAAAUUUCAAAUAAGAGGGGAAAAAGUUGUAAAAAAAUAUACCAAAAAAGUUAUAAUUUUUUAUUCAAAAAAGAUAAGAUGUUACUUUCAUGUUUGGUUUGGUUUAAAAUAAAAAUUAUGAAACUUAAAACUACAACUUAUAACUGAUUAUCAAGAAAUAACAAUAGGUUUGGGCAAUAGGCUGAUGCAUCAGUAAUAAAAAGCUAACAACUACCAAAUUCUAAUUCAGGAUGUAAACAAAACUCAACCUGAAUUGGAUUAGAAUAAAAAAUACCAAAACUAAAGUAAUUAAAAUCCUCGUUCAAGUAUACAGUAUACACAUCUAGAGAAACAACACCAAAGUUUCAAGAUACAACCAUUAAGUUAAUUCCGGUUCAAGUUGUCAUUUCAGCAAACACUAUAAUUUUCAAAAGCAAAAACAAUUCUCCCUAAUUACCACCAAGUUUGGUUGGCGACAAACCAUAUAAGUUUGAAUGGUUAAAGACUUAGGAUUUUCUUUGGUGCAAGAUAUGAAGAUCAAUAAAUAUUAUCUGGAUUACGAAUUAUAUACUAUGGCAGAUUUAAUAAUAAAAUAGUCUUAUCAUUCUUAUAAUUAAAAGAAAAAAAUAUGUUAUCUUUUAUUUUUUUAUAUAAGACCAUACGUAGGUAGUAUAUUAUACAGAACUUACAUAAGCACCACUUUUGUUGACACAGAAUUCCUUCAAAAGAAAUUAUCAAUCAAAAUCAAUGAAUUAGUAAUAGUCUGUAUAUUACGUUAGCAAAAUAUAGACAAAGGUCAAUGUGGGUAUCUUGCGAAUUUUCUAAGUCUUUUUGUUUUGUUCCCAAGUAUAUGGGUCAUGUCAAAAAAGAUAAGACGUUUUCCUUAAAUAAACAUUGAUGACGACUUCUCAAUUUUCUUUUGAAAAACUCACUUGACCGCCACAUUGGGACAAUGACAAUAUUAUUUACAAAAGAAAUUAUAAUAAUAAUAAUAAUAUGUUGUGGAAAACAUAAAUCAUAUUUCUUUUUUUUAAAGAAAAUAAAUUCAUAUUUCUUGUUUUCAGUGUUACUUACAAAAAUGUUACUUUUGAGUCCUAUUCUCAAAAUUUUAAAUAAGAGAAAAAUGUUGUAAAAAAGUAUACCAAAAAAGUUAUAAUUUUUUAUUCAAAAAAGAUAAGAUGUUACUUCCAUGUUUGGUUUGGUUUAAAAUAAAAAUUAUGAAACUUAAAAACUGAUUAUCAAGAAAUAACAAUAGGUUUGGGGAGUAGGCUCAUGCAUCGAUCAGUAAUAAAGAAAAAGCCAACACCUAUCAAAUUCUAAUUCAGAAUGUAAACAAAACUAAACCUGGAUUGGAUUAGAAAAAAAAAUACUCAAACUAAAGUAAAAUCGUCGUUCAAGUAUAUAGUAUACACAUUUAGAGAAACAACACCAAAGUUUCAAGAUACAACCAUUAAGUUAGUUCCGGUUCAAGUUGUCAUUUCAGCAAACACUAUAAUUUUCAAAAGCAAAAACAAUUCUCCCUAAUUACCAUUACCAAGUUUGGUUGGUGACAAACCUUAUAAGUUUGAAUGGUUUAAGACUUAGGAUUUUUUUCUGUGCAAGAUAUCAAGAUCAAUAAAUAUUGUCUGAAUUAUGAAUUAUAUACUAUCACAGAUUUAAUAAUAAAGUAGUCUUAUCAUUCUUAUAAUUAAAAGAAAAAAAUAUGUUAUCUUUUAUUUUUUAUAUAAAAGACCGUACGUAGGUAGUAUAUUAUACAGAACUUACAUAAGCACCACUUUUGUUGACACAGAAUUCCUUCAAAAGAAAUUAUCAAUCAAAAUCAAUGAAGUAAUAGUCUGUAUAUUACGUUAGCAAAAUAUAGACAAAGGUCAAUGUGGGUAUCUUGCGAAUUUUCUAAGUCUUUUUGUUUUGUUCCCAAGUACAAAGUCUAUUUAUGGGUCAUGUCACUUCACAAAAUUUUCCACAUUUGUUGUUUAGCGCAAUGACUGGAAUCUUAAAUUCUAAGUCUUUAUGGUUUUGUUUGGUUCCUACAUAGUCAUAUAAAUGGUCAUGUCACUAUAAAAAAAAUUUCACAUCUAUUAUUUUUGUAGGUAGUGCGAUGACUGGAGUAUUUUCUACGUCUUUCUUUGUUUUGUUCCAAUGGAGUCGUGUAAGGACCAUAUUACUUAUAAAAAAAUUUUAUACUUAAUUGUUUUUUAUGUAAUGUGAUGUUGAUUGGAGUGCUUCUUAAGUCUUUCUUUGUUUUGUUUCCGGAAAGUCAUACAAGGGCAUGCCACUUAAUAAAAAUUAAUUUCCAAUUCUCUGUUUGCAAAGUCAAUAAAUUUAUUCUAGAUGAAGAUAUAUAAUCACAGAACAUUUAGGAAAGCUACACAAAUGGAUGAGAAGAUUUAGAAGUUGUUGCGGAAGAUGCUGUAAAGGAAAAUACUUGAGGAAGCUCUGUUAUGAAUUAAAAUUAAAAAUGAGACCAAAUAAAUUCAGACACGACAUAGGCUUCUCUUGGUAUUUUUUAAUUUGUUAAGUAUAAGGAAUACUUUGUAAUUAACAUAUUCUGAAUCCAACAUAUAGCAAAAAUUGAUGAAAUAGAAAAUUCCUCCCUGUGACGUAAUAGAACUGCAAAUGAUGUAACUAUGAUAAGUCUUAUGGCACAAAAUAUUAAUAUGAACACGUACUCAAUUUGUAAUUCCUUAGAGAUUAAGGUGUAUAUAUAUUUCCAAAAAAAAUGUCAAGGUAGGUUAAAAAGAAAAAGAAAGGGGUGUAUAUAUAUUAAGUUUUAAUCUCAAUGAUAUAUUAUUUUUAAUCUUAAACCAAUAUUUUUUAUUUUUUGUUUCAAUUUUAGUCUUCAAACCGAUCUUUCUCUUAAGAUUAUGAUAUGACUCAUCUCCACUCAAACAAAUAAAACACACAAUAGACUUUAUUUUGAAUCUUUCUCCCCACACAGACAGAAAAAAAAAAGGCUCACACCAUUCACAUUUUUACAUGUAUAAUAGAAUAUAGUGGCUUUUUCCAAUUUUUGAAUGUCAUUACUAUUUUUAAGUACGAUAUUCUAUUAGCUAUAUUUUUCAAUCAUAUAUUAUUUUCAUGAAAAUUGAUGAUAUAUUUUUUCAAGUCCUAUUAAUUAAUAAAUUUAUUCUAUAUUUGAUAUUUGAUAUAUUGAUGUAUAGUAAUAAUAAAAUUAUAGCCAAUUAAGAAUUUUAAAAAUUGUAGAAAGUAUUGAUUUUUGGUGUGAAUGGAAUUGUUUUAAUAUAUUGAAUAUUUUAGUUUUUCUCUCAAUAUUCUCUUCUUCCUUUUUUUGAAUAUAUAUAUAUAUAUAUAUAUAUAUAUAUAUAUAUAUAUUCUUCUUCCUUAAGAACAUGAACAUGCUCACUUUAAUAAAAAAAAUUAUUUAUGGGUCUAUUGAUAUCUAGGGCAAAUAGAUUAAUUAACUUUAGAUUUGAAUGCCCUCUUCAAGUAUGAUAUACUUUUUUAAACCUAAUUUUUUCUUCUUCAAUAAGAACAUGGUCACUUUUUCCAACUAAACCCAAUUUGAAUGCCAAUUCAAGCACGGUAUGAUUUUAAUGUCAAUUACAUAUAAUUUGAAGUCCUGCACUUGUUUAGGAUGAUUUGGAUGAAAAUAAAUUGGGAAGAAGUGAAGGAAAAUGAAAUGGAAACUUUUGGUUUAGAUGGGAUGGAAAUUAAAAUGAAGUAAAAAUAAAUUUAUUGGAGUCCAAAAAAAAAAUCCUCAAAAACAGUGGUGAAAUGGAGGAUUAUGUUUGAAGUAAUAUUAAUUUUACGGGAGGAUUCCUAAAUAAUAUAAAAUUCACUCAUUUUUUUCAUUUUUAUUUAUAAAAAAAUAGAUAAAUUUUCCACUUCGUUUCUCUCUUAUUUCUAUCUUUUUUUUUCUCUUUCAUUUUUUUCUAUUUCAUCUCUAAUCCAAAUAAAGUGCAAAAGUAACGGAUGAGUUAAUCUUUUUAAAAGUUUUUUUUUCUUUCAAAGUGCUAUUUUUUGCUUUCAUAAAUUACAAAUUUUGUGCUUAUUAAUUUUCUAAUUAUUUUAAAUAUGAAAUUGCAUUACUAUAUACGAUCAACUUUAUGUGACUUGUUGACUGGAGACUUUUCCAAGUCUCCCUUGAUAUAUAUGGUUUAGAAUGUUACAUUAUUUUUAAGUCUUUUUUAUUUAUUUAUUUGGUUAUAUAUUAAAUUGAAAAAUAAAAAGAAAAGUGGGAACUUAACUAGGAACUGUGCUGUUGUUGUGUGGGAACCUAAGUACAUUUUAGCAUCUUUAAACUGAAAACAAUUUAGUCAAAAUGCGUAACAAAAUAUAGGUCAAGUAAUUAGUGGACAAAAUCUUGCUGUCACCAUAGAUUUAGGUUGUAUUUAGGUCAAUUACUUAAAAUAUUGUUAAUUGAUAGUUGAAACUUUAGAUGAAAUUAAAAAGUUUGAAUUAUUCUAAAAAUAGUUGUGGUAGAAGCAAACAUGACCACAGAAGUCCUAACUAUUAUUUAGACGUGUUAUAGUACCACCAAUACGAGGUCUGAUUGGAAAUUAGCUGUGUGUCGAACCCAUCUCAUAGCGUGCAUGCGUGCUCCAAAUCUCUUUAACAAAUUAAAUACCAAGCUUUUUUUAUCCAAUUUCUUCUUUUUUAUCUUUUGUUUAUCCGUAAGAAUCAAAGAUAAUAACAAAAGAUAUAUAAUAAUUUAUAAAUCUUAUUCAACCAGCUAAACUAAAUCCCCUAGCUAUCCAAAUCCGUUUAACUUUUAAAUAACAAAAUAAAAGUUAUACACACUUUUAUAUUUCAACAUUUUUACCAUUAUUCAUAGUUUUAGUUACUUGUUUAUAUUUUAGAAACGUCAUAAUACUUACGUCUUUUGCUUUUAUAUUUAUAACAUAAAUAUAUAGAAUAUAACAUGUAUAAUAUAAAUAAUAUAAAAAGAGCUGAUAAUUAAAAAAAACGGGAAAGAAAUAAUUAUAAAAUAAACAUAACUAAUCAGACUAUUUGCAUCAAAAGAAAUUAUUUGAAUAUAUUUUACAUACUUGGAAGAAUUUAUGAGUGGCCCAACCGUUGAGAAAUGUGACUUCCAUUAACCAUCCCGAUGUUAUAUAUAUGCAUGCCUAUUGGUAGUGCUAAAGUCAUCAGUAUCAUUCUAAUUCUCAUAUUCAGUGGAUUCAUUUCAUCAAUCACUUUGCCUUUCUGAUCAUAAUCACCAAAAUGCCAACCAUGAAUCCAGUUCGUUUCAAAUACAUGCAAGCCAUAAUAAUAUUUAUGAUGUUGCAGGUUCGUUCAUGUUUUCUCAUUUGAAUGUAUUUGUGAAAAUCGCAAUUCAAAUCUCAUUUGAUUUCAAUGAAUUUCAAUUUCCUUAAAUUUUUAUUCACAGUUUUGUCAUUUUUUUCUUCUUAAAAUAGAUCAUUCUCCUAUGUUUUGUUCAUUGUUUUUUGGGUUCAUAAUGUUUCGGAUUGAAUUAGAGGUUGAAGCACCGUUUGUUUUGCCCCCUUAUUUUUUGUUUUCAAGGUUGAAUCAUGAUAUAUGUAGAUGUUGAACCAUCAAAUAUGAUAGUGGCAACAAGGCAUAAAUAGUGAUGACAAGGAUAAUGACAACAACAAUAAAGACAAAGACAAUAAUAAUAUUACAUUCUAUGUUUAUAAUUAAGUUUUAAUCUCAAUAUAUAUUAUUUUUAAUUUUAAUUCAAUAAUUUCAAUGAUAUAUUAUUUUUAAUCUUAAUUCAAUAAUUUUCAUUUUUCCCAUUUUAACCUUCAAAAUGAUCUUUCUCUUAAGAUUCAAAUAUAAUCCAUUUCGACUUAAACAUACAAUAAAUUUUAUUUUCAAUCUCUCUCCGUACGCACACACAAAAAAGGCUCACACCAUGCAUACACUUUUUUAUGUGUAGAGUAGAAUAUAGUGGCUUUUUUCAAUUUUUGAAUGUCAUUACUCUUUUUAAGUUCUAUUAGCUAUAUUUGUCAAUCAUACAUUAUUUUCAUGACAAAUUGAUGAUAUAUUUUUUCAAGUCAUCCCUUGAAAGUGUCAUAGUAUUAAUUUUUUAUUAUAUUAAGGAGUACAUAUUUUGGUUGAUAUAUAAGACAAAUAUAAAAUUGAUAUUAAGAAAUUUAUUUUAUAUUUGAUAUUUAAUAUAUUGAUGUAUAGGAAUAAUGAAAUUAUAGCCAAUUAAGAAUUUUAAAAAUUAUAGAAAGUAUUGGGUUUUGGUGUGAAUUUAAUUGGAAUUGAAUUGUUUUAAUUUAUUGAAUAUUUUAGUUCUUUUUUCUCAAUAUUCUCUUCUUCCUUUUUUUAAAGCAUAUAUAUAUAUAUAUAUAUAUAUAUAUAUAUAUAUAUAUAUAUAUAUAUAUAUAUAUAUAUAUAUAUAUAUAUAUUUAAUAAUAAAAAAAUCAUUUAUGGGUCUAUUAGUAUCUAGGACAAAUAGAUUAAUUAACUUUAAAUUUGAAUGUCCUCUUCAAGCAUGGUAUAUGUUUUUAAACCCAAUUUCCUCUUCUUCGUUAAGAACAUGGUUACUUUUUUCAACUAAACCUACUUUGAAUGCCACUUCAAGCACGUUAUGAUUUUAAUGUCAAUUACAUAUAAUUUGAAGUCCUCCACUAGGAUCAUUUGGAAGGAAAUAAAUUGGGAAGAAGUGAGGAACUUUUGGUUUAGAUGGACUGAAAAUAAAAUGAAGUAAAACAAAUUUAGUGGGGUAAAAAAAAUGAAAUGGGAACUUUUGAUUUAGAUGGGAUGGAAAUGAAAAUGAAGUAAAAACAAAUUUAGUGGGGUCCAAAAAAAAAUUGAUUCCUCAAAAACAGUGGUAAAAUGGGAGGAUUUUGUGAGAAGCAAUAUUGAUUUUAUGGGAGGAUUCCUAAAAAAAACACUCAUUUUUUUACUAUUUCUAUUUAAACAAUAUAAAUUCUCUACCUUGUUUCUCUUUUAUUUCUAUCUUUUUUUCUCUUUCAUUUUUCUCUAUUUCAUCUCUAAUCCAAACAAAGUGCAAAAGUUACGGAUGAGUAAUCUUUUUAAUUUUUUUAAAAAACUUUUUUUUUGCAACUUCUUGACUGGAGACUUUUCCAAGUCUUCCCUUGAUAUAUAUCGUUUAGAAUGCUACAUUAUUUUUAUUUAAUUGGUUAAAUAUUAAAUUGGAAAAUAAAAGAAAAAUGGGAACAUAGCAGCAAUUGUGCCAUUGUUGUGUAGUGAUAGUCACUUUUACUAAUAUAAUAUAUAUAUAUAUAUAUAUAUAUAUAUAUAUAUAUAUAUAUAUAUAUAUAUACACUACAUUAGUUAAGUACAUUUUAGCAUUUUUAAACUGAAAAUCUUUCGGUCGAAAUGCAUAACAAAAUAUGGGUCAAGUAAUUAGUGCACAAAAUCUUGCUCAUAAUUUUUGCCACCAUAGAUUCAGGUUGUGUUUUGGACGAUUACUUAAAAUAUUGCUAAUUGAUAGUUAAAAUUGUAGAUGAAAUUAUAAAGUUUGAAAGUUGAAAAGUUAAAAACUGAAAGCUAAAAAUAUAUAAGUCAAUGGAUUCAAUUAUAUUUGAAGUAUUUUAUAAUAUUAUCUAAUAAAUAAAUUUUCUCCUAACUUCUCUUUUAAAUAUAUACCAAUUUUAUUGGUUAAUGUUUGUAAAAAAAUAAUAUGAACUAAUAAAAUUGUUACAUAUUUAAAAGAGAAGUUAGGAACAAAAUUUAUUUUAAAAUUAAAAUAAAAAUUCAAUGGCAUUUGGAUGAAAGUUUUCGUUCAAAAAUUUCCCUUAAAAUAAUUAUUUUUCUAAAGUGUUGUAUGCCGAACCCAUUUCAUAGCGACCAUGUUUAUAUGCUUCAAAUCUUUUCAGCAAAUUAAAUACCAAGCUAAGAUUUUUCUUUUAUCCAAUUCUCCCCUUCUUCUCCUUUAUUUUUUUUAUCUAUUGAAAUCAAAGAUAAUAUAAAAAAAUUUAUAUUAAUUUCCAACUAAUUAAAUUAACCCCCUAGACUAUUCAAAUUAUUUUAACUUUUAAAUAACAAAAUAAAAGUUAUACACACAUUUUUAUUAAAAGUAUGAAUAUCUAAAACUUUUUUUUACUGUUAUUUAUUAAAAGUAAAAAAUAAACUCCAGUUGGUUUGAAAUUCAUGGAAGGCAUAAUAAUAUUAAUGAUGUUUCAGGUUGUUGUUUCUGCUCAAGACCAUAUUAUGUGCAUUCAGACUGAGAGGGAAGCACUCCUCCAAUUCAAGGCUGCACUUCUGGAUCCCUAUGGCAUGCUCUCUUCUUGGACCACUUCUGAUUGCUGCCAAUGGCAAGGGAUUCGCUGCACUAACCUCACCGCCCAUGUUCUAAUGCUCGACCUUCACGGUGGUGAGUUUAAUUAUAUGAGCGGAGAGAUCCACAAGUCGUUGAUGGAGUUGCAACAAUUAAAGUAUUUAAACCUCAGUUGGAAUUCUUUUCAAGGCAGAGGAAUCCCAGAGUUUCUUGGUUCUCUCACCAACUUGAGAUACCUUGAUCUGGAAUAUUGUCGUUUUGGCGGAAAAAUUCCAACUCAGUUUGGCUCUCUUUCUCAUUUGAAAUACUUAAAUCUUGCUUUGAAUUCUCUGGAGGGUUCAAUCCCUCGUCAACUUGGAAAUCUCUCCCAGUUGCAGCAUCUUGAUCUCAGCGCCAAUCAUUUUGAAGGAAAUAUACCCUCUCAAAUUGGAAAUCUCUCCCAGUUGCUGCAUCUUGAUCUCAGCUACAAUUCUUUUGAAGGAAGUAUACCGUCCCAACUUGGGAACCUUUCAAAUUUGCAGAAGCUUUAUCUUGGAGGCGGUGCUCUCAAAAUUGACGAUGGAGAUCAUAGGCUGUCUAAUCUCAUUUCUUUAACCCAUCUUUCCGUGUUACAGAUGCCUAAUCUCAACACUUCUCAUAGCUUCCUCCAAAUGAUUGCCAAGCUACCAAAACUUAGAGAACUGAGUUUAAGUGAAUGUAGCCUUCCCGAUCAGUUUAUCCUUCCAUUGAGGCCCUCUAAAUUCAAUUUUUCUAGUUCCCUUUCCGUCCUUGAUCUUUCCUUCAACAGCCUCACGUCAUCAAUGAUACUCCAGUGGCUGUCCAACGUCACUUCCAACCUUGUUGAGCUUGACCUUAGUUAUAACCUCUUGGAGGGUUCCACAUCAAACCAUUUUGGCCGUGUAAUGAAUUCUCUUGAGCACCUCGACCUCUCAUAUAAUAUAUUCAAGGCUGACGAUUUCAAAUCCUUCGCGAAUAUAUGCACCUUACAUUCUUUAUACAUGCCAGCAAACCAUUUGACUGAAGACCUUCCAUCAAUCCUUCAUAAUUUGUCUAGUGGUUGUGUUAAACACUCAUUACAAGAUUUGGAUUUGUCAGAUAAUCAAAUCACUGGCUCUUUACCCGACCUUUCAGUAUUCUCAUCUCUAAAAUCAUUGUUUCUUGAUCAAAAUCAAUUAAGGGGAAAGAUACCUGAAGGCAUCCGCUUACCGUUUCAUUUGGAAUCUCUGUCAAUCCAAUCAAACUCUUUAGAAGGUGGAAUUCCCAAAUCAUUUGGGAACUCAUGUGCUUUGAGAUCACUGGAUAUGUCUGGUAACAAUUUGAAUAAAGAGCUUUCGGUGAUAAUUCAUCAAUUGUCUGGGUGUGCCAGAUUCUCGCUGCAAGAAUUGAACAUAGGAGGAAAUCAAAUCAAUGGUACGCUUUCUGACCUUUCAAUAUUCUCUGCCUUGAAAACAUUGGGUCUUUCACGAAAUCAAUUAAAUGGAAAAAUUCCAGAGAGUACCAAAUUGCCAUCUCUGUUAGAGUCUUUGUCAAUUGGAUCAAACUCUUUAGAAGGUGGAAUUCACAAAUCAUUUGGGGAUGCAUGUGCUUUGCGCUCAUUGCACAUGCCUAAUAAUAGCUUGAGUGAAGAGUUUCCAAUGAUAAUCCAUCACUUGUCUGGAUGUGCUAGAUAUUCAUUGGAACGAUUAUAUCUAAGCAUGAAUCAAAUCAAUGGUACGCUUCCUGACCUUUCAAUAUUCUCAUCUUUAAGAGGAUUAUAUCUUGAGGGAAACAAGCUAAAUGGAGAGAUUCCUAAAGAUAUUAAAUUUCCACCUCAACUGGAGAGACUAGAUAUGCAAUCAAAUUCCUUGAAGGGUGUGCUCACUGACUAUCAUUUCGCUAAUAUGUCUAAGUUAGACCACUUGGAGUUAUCUGACAACUCUUUAGUGACCUUGGCAUUUAGCCAAAAUUGGGUCCCACCAUUUCAGUUGCGCUUCAUAGGAUUGCGAUCUUGCAAGCUAGGUCCAGUAUUUCCCAAAUGGUUGGAGACACAAAAUCAAUUUCAGGGUAUUGACAUUUCAAAUGCUGGAAUAGCAGAUAUGGUUCCAAAGUGGUUUUGGGCUAAUUUAGCAUUCCGAGAAUUGAUUUCAAUGAAUAUUUCAUACAAUAAUCUCCAUGGUAUAAUUCCAAAUUUUCCAAUAAGGAAUAUUCAACAUUCCCUAAUUCUUGGAUCAAAUCAAUUUGAUGGCCCUGUUCCACCAUUUCUGCGAGGUUUCGUAUUUCUUGAUUUAUCCAAAAAUAAAUUCUCAGAUUCUCUUUCAUUUUUAUGUGUGAAUGUUAAAGUUGAAACUUUGUACGAAUUAGACCUUUCAAAUAAUCAUUUCUCUGGAAAAAUUCCGGACUGUUGGAGCCAUUUCAAGUCAUUAACUUAUUUGGACUUAAGUCACAAUAAUUUUUCAGGAAGGAUACCCACAUCCAUGGGAUCUCUUCUUCAUCUUCAAGCAUUGCUAUUGAGAAACAACAACUUAACAGAUGAGAUACCUAUCUCCUUGAGGAGUUGUACAAAUCUAGUAAUGCUAGAUAUUUCAGAAAACAGAUUAUCAGGGCUUAUCCCUGCUUGGAUUGGGAGCGAAUUACAAGAGUUGCAAUUUUUAAGUUUGGGAAGAAAUAAUUUCCAUGGAAGUUUACCAUUGCAAAUUUGCUACCUAAGUGACAUUCAACUCUUGGAUGUGUCACUAAACCGCAUGUCUGGGCAAAUUCCUAAAUGCAUAAAAAAUUUUACUUCAAUGACUCAAAAGACAUCUUCAAGAGAUUAUCAAGGUCAUUCAUAUCUUGUCAAUACCAUUGGCAUUUAUUAUUAUUAUACAUAUGAUUUGAAUGCACUCUUGAUGUGGAAAGGUUCAGAACAAAUGUUCAAAAAUAAUGUGUUACUACUUUUAAAAAGCAUUGAUCUCUCAAGCAAUCACUUUUCUGGAGAAAUUCCACUGGAAAUAGAGGAUUUAUUUGGAUUGGUUUCAUUGAAUUUAUCAAGAAACCAUUUGACCGGAGCGAUUCCUUCAAAUAUUGGAAAGUUAACAUUACUUGACUUUCUUGAUUUGUCAAGAAACCAUCUAAUUGGUUCAAUUCCAUGGAGUCUUACUCAAAUUGAUCGACUCGGCGUGUUAGAUUUGUCACAUAACAAUCUAUCUGGAGAAAUUCCAACUGGUACACAAUUACAGAGUUUCAAUGCCUCAUGUUAUGAAGAUAAUCUUGAUCUUUGUGGACCGCCACUAGAGAAAUUGUGUAUUGAUGGGAAGCCUGCACAGGAACCAAUUGUUAAACUUCCUGAAGAUGAAAAUUUGCUUUUCACCCGUGAAUUUUACAUGAGUAUGGCAAUUGGAUUUGUUAUAAGCUUUUGGGGCGUUUUUGGCUCAAUCUUAAUGAAUCGUUCUUGGAGACAUGCUUAUUUCAAGUUCAUAAGCAAUUUAUCAGACGCUAUUUAUGUCAUGGUAGCAGUGAAAGUUUUCAAGUGGCGUCACAGACGAUAGCUGGUAACAAUAUUUUAGUCUUCGUAUAUAUACUUCAUUUUCCUUUAUAUGAUAAAUAUAGUCACAAACCANNNNNNNNNNNNNNNNNNNNNNNNNNNNNNNNNNNNNNNNNNNNNNNNNNNNNNNNNNNNNNNNNNNNNNNNNNNNNNNNNNNNNNNNNNNNNNNNNNNNNNNNNNNNNNNNNNNNNNNNNNNNNNNNNNNNNNNNNNNNNNNNNNNNNNNNNNNNNNNNNNNNNNNNNNNNNNNNNNNNNNNNNNNNNNNNNNNNNNNNNNNNNNNNNNNNNNNNNNNNNNNNNNNNNNNNNNNNNNNNNNNNNNNNNNNNNNNNNNNNNNNNNNNNNNNNNNNNNNNNNNNNNNNNNNNNNNNNNNNNNNNNNNNNNNNNNNNNNNNNNNNNNNNNNNNNNNNNNNNNNNNNNNNNNNNNNNNNNNNNNNNNNNNNNNNNNNNNNNAAAUCUUGAUAUUUUAAAAACCAUCUUUUAGAAUUUUGUUAAUACUGUAAUAUAAUCAAUUUUUGAUAAAUAUUUUUCUAAAAAGUAUAUAAUAAGUUCAAAGAGUCUAAUUACUAAUUAGUAUUAACUUCAAUGUGUUGAAGUUUUACAUGGGAAUCUAUUAAUAUUAAUAUAUUUAAUUUUAUUUAUUUUUAUACCAUUUCAUAUUAGUUAAAUAAAUUAAAGAAAUGAUUAUUAAUAUUGUUAUAUUAAAUUGAGUAGGUUAUAAAACUUCUUUACACUAACAUUUCAUAUUAAACAAAUCAAAAUACUUUUACCUAUUUUCUAAUCCCAAAAUAAUAGCUACAUACAAAUAAAGUAUAUUGUUUUUCUUGAUAUAUAUUUUUCCUCCUUAUAAAUACUUUUACCUAUUUUCUAUCUCACGUUCUACUUUUUGAUAUAGCUUUUAGUGUUGGUGAUUUUCUUGGCAUUCCAAUUUUUUCUCUAUUCUUUUAUUAUUUCUAGUUGAGGACAAAUUUUGAAGGAUCGAUAUUUUAAUUUUUGGCAGAAAAAUUCUGAAUUGUAGGUGCCAGCUUGUUGAGGUGGAAAAUGCAAAGAGACACUUUUAAUUUGGAGGUGAGAAGGCAUCUCUCACAGUUGGAUUUGGAGACCGAGAGAGAAUUAAGGAAGGCUUCUAGAGCUUGAGGGAGCCAAUUGUGAUUGUGAUCCAUCUAGUUUAUUUUCCUUUUUAAUUUCUAAGCAUUUUGUUUGUAGUUUGGCCUUUAAAUCUGAACUGGUUGUUUUGUAUGAAGUUGAUGAAUCUUCAUAAUAAUGGGAACUGAGAGGUUUGGUUAUUGCUUCUUCAUUUUUGGGUCAUGCUAUUUGAUUAUGUAGAAAUAGAAAACCGUGUUUGAUCUAGGGAUUUUGUGUUGCUUUUGUACAUUAGUCUCAUGAUUUCAUUUAAGGAAUUAAGUUAUAUGAGAUUAAAAGGAUUCAUUGCCAAGGAAUUGAAUGUCAAUUACCGCUGCAAAAACUGAUCUUAAACUUGGGCAAAGUUGUUUGGACUAGGUGGAAAUUGGGUUGUUACUUCAACAAUCCGUAAAAUCAAAACUUAACUGUGACAGGUGUGAGCACUAUGUCCCUUCUUUGAGCAGAGUUGGCAAAUACACACUUGAGAUACAUCUCAUAGUUCUGCAAUUUAACAAAUACCUCAUCAAAAGAGGGCAAGGUGCUUUGCCAAUGACAUAGCCUUCAAGGUCACGAAUAAGCUUAGACUGAUACCAUAUAGAGAAUGAAUAAGUUGUUUAUUUUAAACACAAUUUGAAUACAAGGCAGCAACAUUUAUAAAGUUGUCUGUUACAGUUAGAUAAGAUAGAAGUUUUCUAAUUUUAAUUAUUAAGCAGUACAGUUGCACAAUCAAUUUACAAAAUUCUGAUUAUAUAAUACAGCAUACCUAAAAUGUUUGGUGUAAAAUAUUCCUACUUCCUACAAAGCCAUUGCAUCUUCCAAAACCAUGCAUGACAUAAUAUAAAUCCCCUAACACAGGUGCUCAUUUGUUUGUAGACAACCCAAACGAAAACUGAGAACCCAUUCCCAAACAUAGUGCAUGACGAUCCACACGUCCUUUAGAGAAGAUGUGUGUGGUAGAACUUGUGAUUUUCUGGGAAUCAUGAUAUCCCUGUGACAUUUGGGAUAUAGUGAGACAUUUGGGCAUGCUUUGAGUUCAACAUCUCUGAUGAAGGACUUCUUUCUUUGUUAAAGGUAUCAUUGAGGAUGAAUGGUCACAAAUCCAAAAAUAAAUGUAGCAUUCCACAAUCUAAAGGAAGUAAGUGAGCUGUUGUUUCUUCCUCGAACCUCCUUCACCAUACAAAUCAUUCCAGUGCUUCAACUCAUUCAUUACAGAUCCUUCUGAUGCAAAACUUGCAGCCUCUUGCAUUUAAUCAGAUAUCCGUAAGUUCAUGAAUUUACAAAGUUUACCGCAAACCCAACAUCUUUUUUAAAGAGGCAAAAAUACUCAAAUAAAUAAUCACUCAAUUUAUCUUUUUUAUGUUUCAUGCAUCUUAUGUUGGGUUUCUGACUUAUUUGAUGGUGUUUGAAUAACAUGUGAGUAAAUUUUGCUAAUGUUGUGGUAGGUCUCCAACUUUCUUUACUUGGUAACGUUUAUCACAACCAAAAUCUUUUCUGAAAAGGGAGUCAAAAUGUUCAAAUAAAUGAGCAUUCAAUUCUUUUUUUUUUCCUGAAUGAAUAUUACACAUUACUCGAAUCGUUUUAAUGCUUUAAGCGAUUCUCUCUAUUAUAUUUUUUAAAAUUCAAUAUCAUUUCAAGGUUUAACACUUUAACGACUCUUAUUCACACAAUUAAAUACAAAUCAUUCAAAAAAAGAUAAAAUCAACCAACACACAAGUUAUUUUUUACCCAAAGAACUACAUAAGUCUGAUUUUCUCAUUACACAUGAGGAUAUGUAUGAAUAAGGGAAAACCCCUUGUUGACCUAAAACACUAGGAAAAAAAAUAUGAAAUUUCCUCUUUACUAAAAAUAAAAAUUUGUUUUAAUUUUUAAAUUAAACAAAAUAUAGCAAACAUAAUUCAUGUUCUAAAGGGAAGAUAAAUAAUUAAGAAGUCGCUUUUAUUUUUAUUAGACUAAAUUAAAGGUUGUCAUCUUCAUGACGGAUAAGUGAGGUGUUAAUACCUUUCACGUAAAUAAUUUUUGAAUCCUUUUUUUUUCUCAAAUUGUAAAUCAUUUCAUAUUUUUUUUUUGCUUUUUUAACGUUUUCCUUAAAUAAACGUUGAUGACGACUUCUCAAUUUUCUUUUGAAAAACUCACUUGACUGCCACAUUGGGACAAUGACAAUAUUAUUUACAAAAGAAAUAAUAAUAAUAAUAAUGAUAAUAUGUUGUGGAAAACAUAAAUCAUAUUUCUUUUUUUUAAAGAAAAUAAAUUCAUAUUUUUUGUUUUCAGUGUUACUUACAAAAAUGCUACUUUUGAGUCCUAUUCUCAAAAUUUUAAAUAAGAGAGAAAAAUGUUGUAAAAAAGUAUACCAAAAAAGUUAUAAUUUUUUAUUCAAAAAAGAUAAGAUGUUACUUCCAUGUUUGGUUUGGUUUAAAAUAAAAAUUAUGAAACUUAAAAACUGAUUAUCAAAAAAUAACAAUAGGUUUGGGGAGUAGGCUCAUGCAUCGAUCAGUAAUAAAGAAAAAGCCAACACCUAUCAAAUUCUAAUUCAGAAUGUAAACAAAACUAAACCUGGAUUGGAUUAGAAAAAAAAUACUCAAACUAAAGUAAAAUCGUCGUUCAAGUAUAUAGUAUACACAUCUAGAGAAUCAGCACCAAAGUUUCAAGAUACAACCAUUAAGUUAGUUCCGGUUCAAGUUGUCAUUUCAGCAAACACUAUAAUUUUCAAAAGCAAAAACAAUUCUCCCUAAUUACCACCAAGUUUGGUUGGUGACAAAACUUAUAAGUUUGAAUGGUUUAAGACUUAGGAUUUUUUUCUGUGCAAGAUAUCAAGAUCAAUAAAUAUUGUCUGAAUUAUGAAUUAUAUACUAUCACAGAUUUAAUAAUAAAGUAGUCUUAUCAUUCUUAUAAUUAAAAGAAAAAAAUAUGUUAUCUUUUAUUUUUUAUAUAAAAGACCGUACGUAGGUAGUAUAUUAUACAGAACUUACAUAAGCACCACUUUUGUUGACACAGAAUUCCUUCAAAAGAAAUUAUCAAUCAAAAUCAAUGAAGUAAUAGUCUGUAUAUUACGUUAGCAAAAUAUAGACAAAGGUCAAUGUGGGUAUCUUGCGAAUUUUCUAAGUCUUUUUGUUUUGUUCCCAAGUACAAAGUCUAUUUAUGGGUCAUGUCACUUCACAAAAUUUUCCACAUUUGUUGUUUAGCGCAAUGACUGGAAUCUUAAAUUCUAAGUCUUUAUGGUUUUGUUUGGUUCCUACAUAGUCAUAUAAAUGGUCAUGUCACUAUAAAAAAAAUUUCACAUCUAUUAUUUUUGUAGGUAGUGCGAUGACUGGAGUAUUUUCUACGUCUUUCUUUGUUUUGUUCCAAUGGAGUCGUGUAAGGACCAUAUUACUUAUAAAAAAAUUUUAUACUUAAUUGUUUUUUAUGUAAUGUGAUGUUGAUUGGAGUGCUUCUUAAGUCUUUCUUUGUUUUGUUUCCGGAAAGUCAUACAAGGGCAUGCCACUUAAUAAAAAUUAAUUUCCAAUUCUCUGUUUGCAAAGUCAAUAAAUUUAUUCUAGAUGAAGAUAUAUAAUCACAGAACAUUUAGGAAAGCUACACAAAUGGAUGAGAAGAUUUAGAAGUUGUUGCGGAAGAUGCUGUAAAGGAAAAUACUUGAGGAAGCUCUGUUAUGAAUUAAAAUUAAAAAUGAGACCAAAUAAAUUCAGACACGACAUAGGCUUCUCUUGGUAUUUUUUAAUUUGUUAAGUAUGAGGAAUACUUUGUAAUUAACAUAUUCUGAAUCCAACAUAUAGCAAAAAUUGAUGAAAUAGAAGAUUCCUCCCUGUGACGUAAUAGAACUGCAAAUGAUGUAACUAUGAUAAGUCUUAUGGCACAAAAUAUUAAUAUGAACACGUACUCAAUUUGUAAUUCCUUAGAGAUUAAGGUGUAUAUAUAUUUCCAAAAAAAAUGUCAAGGGAGGUUAAAAAGAAAAAGAAAGGGGUGUAUAUAUAUUAAGUUUUAAUCUCAAUGAUAUAUUAUUUUUAAUCUUAAACCAAUAUUUUUUAUUUUUUUUUUCAAUUUUAGUCUUCAAACUGAUCUUUCUCUUAAGAUUAUGAUAUGACUCAUCUCCACUCAAACAAAUAAUACACACAAUAGACUUUAUUUUGAAUCUUUCUCCCCACACAGACAGAAAAAAAAAAAGGCUCACACCAUUCACAUUUUUACAUGUAUAAUAGAAUAUAGUGGCUUUUUCCAAUUUUUGAAUGUCAUUACUCUUUUUAAGUACGAUAUUCUAUUAGCUAUGUUUGUCAAUCAUAUAUUAUUUUCAUGAAAAAUUGAUGAUAUAUUUUUUCAAGUCCUAUUAAUUAAUAAAUUUAUUCUAUAUUUGAUAUUUGAUAUAUUGAUGUAUAGUAAUAAUAAAAUUAUAGCCAAUUAAGAAUUUUAAAAAUUGUAGAAAGUAUUGAUUUUUGGUGUGAAUGGAAUUGUUUUAAUAUAUUGAAUAUUUUAGUUUUUCUCUCAAUAUUCUCUUCUUCCUUUUUUUGAAUAUAUAUAUAUAUAUAUAUAUAUAUAUAUAUAUAUAUAUAUAUAUAUAUAUAUAUAUAUAUUCUUCUUCCUUAAGAACAUGAACAUGCUCACUUUAAUAAAAAAAAAUUAUUUAUGGGUCUAUUGAUAUCUGGGGCAAAUAGAUUAAUUAACUUUAGAUUUGAAUGUCCUCUUCAAGUAUGAUAUACUUUUUUAAACCUAAUUUUUUCUUCUUCAAUAAGAACAUGGUCACUUUUUCCAACUAAACCCAAUUUGAAUGCCAAUUCAAGCACGGUAUGAUUUUAAUGUCAAUUACAUAUAAUUUGAAGUCCUGCACUUGUUUAGGAUGAUUUGGAUGAAAAUAAAUUGGGAAGAAGUGAAGGAAAAUGAUAUGGAAACUUUUGGUUUAGAUGGGAUGGAAAUUAAAAUGAAGUAAAAAUAAAUUUAUUGGAGUCCAAAAAAAAAUCCUCAAAAACAGUGGUGAAAUGGAGGAUUAUGUUUGAAGUAAUAUUAAUUUUACGGGAGGAUUCCUAAAUAAUAUAAAAUUCACUCAUUUUUUUUCAUUUUUAUUUAUCCAAAAAAAAAGAUAAAUUUUCCACUUCGUUUCUCUCUUAUUUCUAUCUUUUUUUUCUCUUUCAUUUUUUUCUAUUUCAUCUCUAAUCCAAAUAAAGUGCAAAAGUAACGGAUGAGUUAAUCUUUUUAAAAGUUUUUUUUUCUUUCAAAGUGCUAUUUUUUGCUUUCAUAAAUUGCAAAUUUUGUGCUUAUUAAUUUUCUAAUUAUUUUAAAUAUGAAAUUGCAUUACGAUAUACGAUCAACUUUGUGUGACUUGUUGACUGGAGACUUUUCCAAGUCUCCCCUUGAUAUAUAUCGUUUAGAAUGUUACAUUAUUUUUAAGUCUUUUUUAUUUAUUUAUUUGGUUAUAUAUUAAAUUGAAAAAUAAAAAGAAAAGUGGGAACUUAACUAGGAACUGUGCUGUUGUUGUGUGGGAACCUAAGUACAUUUUAGCAUCUUUAAACUGAAAACAAUUUAGUCAAAAUGCGUAACAAAAUAUAGGUCAAGUAAUUAGUGGACAAAAUCUUGCUGUCACCAUAGAUUUAGGUUGUAUUUAGGUCAAUUACUUAAAAUAUUGUUAAUUGAUAGUUGAAACUUUAGAUGAAAUUAAAAAGUUUGAAUUAUUCUAAAAAUAGUUGUGGUAGAAGCAAACAUGACCACAGAAGUCCUAACUAUUAUUUAGACGUGUUAUAGUACCACCAAUACGAGGUCUGAUUGGAAAUUAGCUGUGUGUCGAACCCAUCUCAUAGCGUGCAUGCGUGCUCCAAAUCUCUUUAACAAAUUAAAUACCAAGCUUUUUUUAUCCAAUUUCUUCUUUUUUAUCUUUUGUUUAUCCGUAAGAAUCAAAGAUAAUAACAAAAGAUAUAUAAUAAUUUAUAAAUCUUAUUCAACCAGCUAAACUAAAUCCCCUAGCUAUCCAAAUCCGUUUAACUUUUAAAUAACAAAAUAAAAGUUAUACACACUUUUAUAUUUCAACAUUUUUACCAUUAUUCAUAGUUUUAGUUACUUGUUUAUAUUUUAGAAACGUCAUAAUACUUACGUCUUUUGCUUUUAUAUUUAUAACAUAAAUAUAUAGAAUAUAACAUGUAUAAUAUAAAUAAUAUAAAAAGAGCUGAUAAUUUAAAAAAACGGGAAAGAAAUAAUUAUAAAAUAAACAUAACUAAUCAGACUAUUUGCAUCAAAAGAAAUUAUUUGAAUAUAUUUUACAUACUUGGAAGAAUUUAUGAGUGGCCCAACCGUUGAGAAAUGUGACUUCCAUUAACCAUCCCGAUGUUAUAUAUAUGCAUUCCUAUUGGCAGUGCUAAAGUCAUCAGUAUCAUUCUAAUUCUCAUAUUCAGUGGAUUCAUUUCAUCAAUCACUUUGCCUUUCUGAUCAUAAUCACCAAAAUGCCAACCAUGAAUCCAGUUCGUUUCAAAUACAUGCAAGCCAUAAUAAUAUUUAUGAUGUUGCAGGUUCGUUCAUGUUUUCUCAUUUGAAUGUAUUUGUGAAAAUCGCAAUUCAAAUCUCAUUUGAUUUCAAUGAAUUUCAAUUUCCUUAAAUUUUUAUUCAGUUUUGUCAUUUUUUUCUUCUUAAAAUAGAUCAUUCUCCUAUGUUUUGUUCAUUGUUUUUUGGGUUCAUAAUGUUUCGGAUUGAAUUAGAGGUUGAAGCACCGUUUGUUUUGCCCCCUUAUUUUUUGUUUUCAAGGUUGAACCAUGGUAUAUGUAGAUGUUGAACCAUCAAAUAUGAUAGUGGCAACAAGACAUAAAUAGUGAUGACAAAGAUAAUGACAACAAUAAUAAAGACAAGGAUAAUAAUAAUAUUACAUUCUAUGUUUAUAAUUAAGUUUUAAUUUCAAUGAUAUAUUAUUUUUAAUUUUAAUUCAAUAAUUUCAAUGAUAUAUUAUUUUUAAUCUUAAUUCAAUAAUUUUCAUUUUUUCCCAUUUUAACCUUCAAAAUGAUCUUUCUCUUAAGAUUCUAAUAUAAUCCAUUUUGACUUAAACAAAUGAAAGAUACAAUAAAUUUUAUUUUCAAUCUUUCUCUUCGUACGCACACACAAAAAAGGCUCACACCAUGCAUACACUUUUUUAUGUGUAGAGUAGAAUAUAGUGGCUUUUUCCAAUUUUUGAAUGUCAUUACUCUUUUUAAGUUCUAUUAGCUAUAUUUGUCAAUCAUACAUUAUUUUCAUGACAAAUUGAUGAUAUAUUUUUUCAAAUCAUCCCUUGAAAGUGUCAUAGUAUUAAUUUUUUAUUAUAUUAAGGAGUACAUAUUUUGGUUGAUAUAUAAGACAAAUAUAAAAUUGAUAUUAAGAAAUUUAUUUUAUACUUGAUAUUUAAUAUAUUGAUGUAUAGGAAUAAUGAAAUUAUAGCCAAUUAAGAAUUUUAAAAAUUAUAGAAAGUAUUGGGUUUUGGUGUGAAUUUAAUUGGAAUUGAAUUGUUUCAAUUUAUUGAAUAAUUUAGUUCUUUUUUCUCAAUAUUCUCUUCUUCAUUUUUUUAAAGCAUUUAUGUAUAUAUAUAUAUAUAUAUAUUNNNNNNNNNNNNNNNNNNNNNNNNNNNNNNNNNNNNNNNNNNNNNNNNNNNNNNNNNNNNNNNNNNNNNNNNNNNNNNNNNNNNNNNNNNNNNNNNNNNNAAAAAAUCAUUUAUGGGUCUAUGGUAUCUAGGACAAAUAGAUUAAUUAACUUUAAAUUGAAUGUCCUCUUCAAGCAUGGUAUUUGUUUUUAAACCCAAUUUCCUCUUCUUUGUUAAGAACAUGGUCACUUUCUUCAACUAAACCUACUUUGAAUGCCACUUCAAAAACGUUAUGAUUUUAUUGUCAAUUACAUAUAAUUUGAAGUCCUCCACUAGGAUCAUUUGGAAGGAAAUAAAUUGGGAUGAAGUGAGGAACUUUUGGUUUAGAUGGACUGAAAAUAAAAUGAAGUAAAACAAAUUUAGUGGGGUAAAAAAAAUGAAAUGGGAACUUUUGAUUUAGAUGGGAUGGAAAUGAAAAUGAAGUAAAAACAAAUUUAGUGGGGUCCAAAAAAAAAUUGAUUCCUCAAAAAUAGUGGUAAAAUGGGAGGAUUUUGUGAGAAGCAAUAUUAAUUUUAUGGGAGGGUUCUUAAAAAAAACACUCAUUUUUUACUAUUUCUAUUUAAACAAUAUAAAUUCUCUACCUUGUUUCUCUUUUAUUUCUAUCUUUUUUUCUCUUUCAUUUUUCUCUAUUUCAUCUCUAAUCCAAACAAAGUGCAAAAGUUACGGAUGAGUAAUCUUUUUAGUUUUUUUUAAAACCUUUUUUUUUGCAACUUCUUGACUGGAGACUUUUCCAAGUCUUCCCUUGAUAUAUAUCGUUUAGAAUGCUACAUUAUUUUUAUUUAAUUGGUUAAAUAUUAAAUUGGAAAAUAAAAGAAAAAUGGAAACAUAAACAGCAAUUGUGUCAUUGUUGUGUAGUGAUCGUCACUUUUACUCAUAAGAAUAUAUAUAUAUAUAUAUAUUUUUUUUACUAAAGUACAUUUUAGCAUCUUUAAACUGAAAAUCUUUCAGUCAAAAUGCAUAACAAAAUAUGGGUCAAGUAAUUAGUGCACAAAGUCUUGCUCAUAAUUUUUGCCACCAUAGAUUCAGGUUGUGUUUCGGACUAUUACUUAAAAUAUUGUUAAUUGAUAGUUAAAAUUGUAGAUGAAAUUAUAAAGUUUGAAAGUUGAAAAGUUAAAAACUGAAAGCUGAAAAUAUAUAAGCCAAUGGAUUCAAUUAUAUUUGAAGUAUUUUAUAAUAUUAUCUAAUAAAUAAAUUUUCUCCUAACUUCUCUUUUAAAUAUAUACCAAUUUUAUUGGUUAAUGUUUGUAAAAAAAUAAUAUGAACUAAUAAAAUUGUUACAUAUUUAAAAGAGAAGUUAGGAACAAAAUUUAUUUUAAAAUUAAAAUAAAAAUUCAAUGGCUUUUGGAUGAAAGUUUUCGUUCAAAAAUUUCCCUUAAAAUAAUUAUUUUUCUAAAGUAGUUGUGGUAGAAGCAAACAGAAGUCAUAAUUAUUAUUUAGAAGUGUUGUAUGCCGAACCCAUCUCAUAGCGGCCAUGUUUAUAUGCUUCAAAUCUUUUCAGCAAAUUAAAUACCAAGCUAAGAUUUUUCUUUUAUCCAAUUCUCCCCUUCUUCUCCUUUAUUUUUUUUAUCUAUUGAAAUCAAAGAUAAUAUCAAAAAAUUUAUAUUAAUUUCCAACUAAUUAAAUUAACCCCCUAGACUAUUCAAAUUAUUUUAACUUUUAAAUAACAAAAUAAAAGUUAUACACACAUUUAUAUUCAAACAUUUUUACCAAUAUUCAUAGUUUUAGUUACUUGUUUAAAUUUUUAAAAUGUCAUAAUAAUUACUUCUUUUGCUUUUAUAUUUAUAACAUAAAUGCAUAGAAUAUAACAUGUUUAAUAUAAAUAAUAAAAAAGGAGCUGAUAGAAUAUUAAAAAAGCGGGAAAGAAAUAAUUAUAAAAUCAACAUAACUAAUCAAACUAUUUGGGUCAAAAGAAAUUAUUUGAAUAUAUUUUUCAUACUUGCGUAAAAUUUAUAUUAGUAAAUUUAGAGGAAAUACAAAAUUAUUUUAACUAAUUUCCAUAAAUUUUAUUGAAGAGUUUUUUUUAUAUAUUUUAUCCGUGUAUUACAAAUUUUUUAAAAUUAAAUAUCCUAAAAGGAUUUUUUUUAUUAAAAGUAUGAAUAUCUAAAACUUUUUUUUACUGUUAUUUAUUAAAAGUAAAAAAUAAACUCCAGUUGGUUUGAAAUUCAUGGAAGGCAUAAUAAUAUUAAUGAUGUUGCAGGUUGUUGUUUCUGCUCAAGACCAUAUUAUGUGCAUUCAGACUGAGAGGGAAGCACUCCUCCAAUUCAAGGCUGCCCUUGUGGAUGACUAUGGCAUGCUCUCUUCUUGGACCACUUCUGAUUGCUGCCAAUGGCAAGGGAUUCGCUGCUCCAACCUCACCGGCCAUGUUCUAAUGCUCGACCUUCACGGUCAGCUUAGAUUUUCACAUGCCUUCGCUGAUGAUAUCACUGAUAUUGGCUGGCAACGUUAUAUGAGAGGAGACAUCCACAAGUCGUUGAUGGAGUUGCAACAAUUAAAGUAUUUAAACCUCAGUUGGAAUUCUUUUCAAGGCAGAGGAAUCCCAGAGUUUCUUGGUUCUCUCACCAACUUGAGAUACCUUGAUCUGGAAUAUUGUCGUUUUGGCGGAAAAAUUCCAACUCAGUUUGGCUCUCUUUCUCAUUUGAAAUACUUAAAUCUUGCUUUGAAUUCUCUGGAGGGUUCAAUCCCUCGUCAACUUGGAAAUCUCUCCCAGUUGCAGCAUCUUGAUCUCAGCGCCAAUCAUUUUGAAGGAAAUAUACCCUCUCAAAUUGGAAAUCUCUCCCAGUUGCUGCAUCUUGAUCUCAGCUACAAUUCUUUUGAAGGAAGUAUACCGUCCCAACUUGGGAACCUUUCAAAUUUGCAGAAGCUUUAUCUUGGAGGAUCACAUUAUUAUGAUGAUGCUUAUGGUGGUGCUCUCAAAAUUGACGAUGGAGAUCAUUGGGUGUCUAAUCUCAUUUCUUUAACCCAUCUUUCCUUGGUCUUCAUAUCUAAUCUCAACACUUCUCAUAGCUUCCUCCAAAUGAUUGCCAAGCUACCAACACUUAGAGAACUGAGUUUAAGUGAAUGUAGCCUUUCCGAUCAGUUUAUCCUUUCAUUGAGGCCCUCCAAAUUCAAUUUUUCUAGUUCCCUUUCCAUCCUUGAUCUUUCCUGGAACAGCUUCACGUCAUCAAUGAUACUCCAGUGGCUGUCCAACGUCACUUCCAACCUUGUUGAGCUUCACCUUAGUUAUAACCUCUUGGAGGGUUCCACAUCAUCAAAUCAUUUUGGCAUUGUCUUGAAUUCACUUCAGCACCUUGACCUUAGUUAUAACCUCUUGGAGGGUUCCACAUCAUCAAAUCAUUUUGGCAUUGUCUUGAAUUCACUUCAGCACCUUGACCUUAGUCAUAACCUCUUGGAGGGUUCCAUAUCAAACCAUUUUGGCCGUGUAAUGAAUUCUCUUGAGCACCUCGACCUCUCAUAUAAUAUAUUCAAGGGUGAGGAUUUCAAAUCCUUCGCGAAUAUAUGCACCU
RNAcentral lists this long non-coding RNA (36835 nucleotides) under Glycine max (soybean). RNAcentral describes it as "long non-coding RNA (GMAX_LNC003750)". Lineage: Eukaryota; Viridiplantae; Streptophyta; Magnoliopsida; Fabales; Fabaceae. The record is from RNAcentral.